Molecule: small nuclear RNA, 71 nt
Filed under: Sus scrofa (pig)
Lineage: Eukaryota; Metazoa; Chordata; Mammalia; Artiodactyla; Suidae
Source: RNAcentral
AUUUUUUUUCCCCAUUAUAGUCGAUACUAAAAUUGGAGCAAUACAGAGAAGAUUAGCAGGACCCCUGCACA